UACGAAGGGGCUAGCGUUGCUCGGAAUCACUGGGCGUAAAGGGUGCGUAGGCGGGUCUUUAAGUCAGGGGUGAAAUCCUGGAGCUCAACUCCAGAACUGCCUUUGAUACUGAAGAUCUUGAGUUCGGGAGAGGUGAGUGGAACUGCGAGUGUAGAGGUGAAAUUCGUAGAUAUUCGGAAGAACACCAGUGGCGAAGGCGGCUCACUGGCCCGGUACUGACGCUGAGGUGCGAAAGCGUGGGGAGCAAACAGG
RNAcentral lists this ribosomal RNA (252 nucleotides) under uncultured bacterium. RNAcentral's name for it is "partial 16S ribosomal RNA". It matches the Rfam family "Bacterial small subunit ribosomal RNA", at positions 524 to 776 of the family's 1533-position model. The record is from RNAcentral.